GACGAACGCUGGCGGCGUGCCUAAUACAUGCAAGUAGAACGCACAGUUUAUACCGUAGCUUGCUACACCAUAGACUGUGAGUUGCGAACGGGUGAGUAACGCGUAGGUAACCUGCCUGGUAGCGGGGGAUAACUAUUGGAAACGAUAGCUAAUACCGCAUAAUAUUAAUUAUUGCAUGAUAAUUAAUUGAAAGGUGCAAUUGCACCACUACCAGAUGGACCUGCGUUGUAUUAGCUAGUAGGUGAGGUAACGGCGAACCUAGGCGACGAUACAUACCCGACCGGAGAGGGGGAUCGGCCACACUGGGACUGAGACACGGCCCAGACUCCUACGGGAGGCAGCAGUAGGGAAUCUUCGGCAAUGGACGAAAGUCUGACCGAGCAACGCCGCGUGAGUGAAGAAGGUUUUCGGAUCGUAAAGCUCUGUUUUAAGAGAAGAACGGGUGUGAGAGUGGAAAGUUCACACUGUGACGGUAUCUUACCAGAAAGGGACGGCUAACUACGUG
RNAcentral lists this ribosomal RNA (505 nucleotides) under uncultured bacterium. Its description in RNAcentral is "partial 16S ribosomal RNA". It matches the Rfam family "Bacterial small subunit ribosomal RNA", at positions 28 to 507 of the family's 1533-position model. The record is from RNAcentral.